UACAGAGGGUGCUAGCGUUGUUCGGAAUCAUUGGGCGUAAAGAGCGCGCAGGCGGUCGUUCAAGUCGCGUGUGAAAGCCCCCGGCUCAACUGGGGAGGGUCACGCGAUACUGAUCGACUGGAAGGCAGGAGAGGGUAGUGGAAUUCCCGGUGUAGUGGUGAAAUGCGUAGAUAUCGGGAGGAACACCAGUGGCGAAGGCGACUACCUGGCCUGUUCUUGACGCUGAGGCGCGAAAGCUAGGGGAGCAAACGGG
This 253-nucleotide ribosomal RNA is filed under the name uncultured bacterium. Its description in RNAcentral is "partial 16S ribosomal RNA". It matches the Rfam family "Bacterial small subunit ribosomal RNA", at positions 524 to 776 of the family's 1533-position model. The record is from RNAcentral.